Molecule: ribosomal RNA, 400 nt
Filed under: uncultured bacterium
Lineage: Bacteria
Description: bacterial SSU rRNA
Rfam family: Bacterial small subunit ribosomal RNA
Source: RNAcentral
UUAGGAAUCUUCCACAAUGGGCGAAAGCCUGAUGGAGCGACGCCGCGUGAGGGAUGAAGGCCUUAGGGUUGUAAACCUCUAAAAGAGGGACGAUAAUGACGGUACCUCUUGAAUAGCACCGGCUAACUCCGUGCCAGCAGCCGCGGUAAUACUGAGGGUGCAAGCGUUAUCCGGAAUCACUGGGCGUAAAGGGCGCGUAGGCGGUCUGUUAAGUCCGAUGUUAAAUCCCGGGGCUCAACCCCGGAUAAGCGUUGGAUACUGGCAGGCUAGACGGUUGGAGAGGCUAGUGGAAUUACAAGUGUAGCGGUGGAAUGCGUAGAUACUGGUAGGAACACCCAUUGCGAAGGCAGCUCGCUGGACAACACGUGACGCUGAGGCGCGAAAGUGUGGGGAGCAAACC